Molecule: ribosomal RNA, 225 nt
Filed under: uncultured Methylophilus sp.
Lineage: Bacteria; Pseudomonadati; Pseudomonadota; Betaproteobacteria; Nitrosomonadales; Methylophilaceae
Description: partial 16S ribosomal RNA
Rfam family: Bacterial small subunit ribosomal RNA
Source: RNAcentral
UGCGUAGGCGGCUUUUUAAGUCGGAUGUGAAAUCCCCGAGCUUAACUUGGGAAUUGCGUUUGAAACUACAAGACUAGAAUAUGUCAGAGGGGGGUAGAAUUCCACGUGUAGCAGUGAAAUGCGUAGAGAUGUGGAGGAAUACCAAUGGCGAAGGCAGCCCCCUGGGAUAAUAUUGACGCUCAUGCACGAAAGCGUGGGGAGCAAACAGGAUUAGAUACCCGUGUA